GCGGCAGGCCUCAUACAUGCAAGUCGAGCGGUCCUUCGGGACAGCGGCGAACGGGUUAGUAACGCGUGGGAACGUGCCCUUUAGUACGGAAUAGCCAUUGGAAACGAUGAUUAAUACCGUAUACGCCCCAAGGGGGAAAGAUUUAUCGCUAAAGGAUCGGCCCGCGUUAGAUUAGGUAGUUGGUAGGGUAAUGGCCUACCAAGCCGACGAUCUAUAGCUGGUUUGAGAGGAUGAUCAGCAACACUGGGACUGAGACACGGCCCAGACUUCUACGGAAGGCAGCAGUAGGGAAUCUUGGACAAUGGGCGAAAGCCUGAUCCAGCCAUGCCGCGUGAGUGAUGAAGGCCCUAGGGUUGUAAAGCUCUUUCGCCAGGGAAGAUAAUGACGGUACC
RNAcentral lists this ribosomal RNA (392 nucleotides) under uncultured Alphaproteobacteria bacterium. RNAcentral's name for it is "bacterial SSU rRNA". It matches the Rfam family "Bacterial small subunit ribosomal RNA", at positions 39 to 479 of the family's 1533-position model. Lineage: Bacteria; Pseudomonadati; Pseudomonadota; Alphaproteobacteria. The record is from RNAcentral.